This 476-nucleotide ribosomal RNA is filed under the name uncultured bacterium. RNAcentral describes it as "bacterial SSU rRNA". It matches the Rfam family "Bacterial small subunit ribosomal RNA", at positions 28 to 517 of the family's 1533-position model. The record is from RNAcentral.
GACGAACGCUGGCGGCGUGCUUAACACAUGCAAGUCGAGCGGUAAGGCCCUUUCGGGGGUACACGAGCGGCGAACGGGUGAGUAACACGUGGGUGACCUGCCCUCAGCUCUGGGAUAAGCCUGGGAAACUGGGUCUAAUACUGGAUAUGACUCCACGGUGCAUGUCGUGGGGUGGAAAGCCUUGUGCGGCUGAGGAUGGGCCCGCGGCCUAUCAGCUUGUUGGUGGGGUGANGGCCUACCAAGGCGACGACGGGUAGCCGGCCUGAGAGGGCGACCGGCCACACUGGGACUGAGACACGGCCCAGACUCCUACGGGAGGCAGCAGUGGGGAAUCUUGCGCAAUGGGCGAAAGCCUGACGCAGCGACGCCGCGUGAGGGAUGACAGCCUUCGGGUUGUAAACCUCUUUCAGCUCCGACGAAGCGGGAAGUGACGGUAGGAGCAGAAGAAGCACCGGCCAACUACGUGCCAGCCGCCG